AGUGAACGCUGGCGGUAGGCCUAACACAUGCCAGUCGAACGGCAGCACAGUAAGAGCUUGCUCUUACGGGUGGCGAGUGGCGGACGGGUGAGGAAUACAUCGGAAUCUACUUUUUCGUGGGGGAUAACGUAGGGAAACUUACGCUAAUACCGCAUACGACCUACGGGUGAAAGCAGGGGAUCUUCGGACCUUGCGCGAUUGAAUGAGCCGAUGUCGGAUUAGCUAGUUGGCGGGGUAAAGGCCCACCAAGGCGACGAUCCGUAGCUGGUCUGAGAGGAUGAUCAGCCAAACUGGAACUGGGGAACGGUCCAGACUCCUACGGGAGGCAGCAGUGGGGAAUAUUGGACAAUGGGCGCAAGCCUGAACCAGCCAUACCGCGUGGGGGAAGAAGGCCUUCGGGUUGGAAAGCCCUUUUGGUGGGAAAGAAAAGCAGCAGGUUAAUACCCCGCUGUUCUGACGGUACCCAAAGAAUAAGCACCGGCUAACUUCGUG
RNAcentral lists this ribosomal RNA (492 nucleotides) under uncultured bacterium. RNAcentral's name for it is "partial 16S ribosomal RNA". It matches the Rfam family "Bacterial small subunit ribosomal RNA", at positions 29 to 507 of the family's 1533-position model. The record is from RNAcentral.